UCAGAGGACUUACAUCGGAGGGAAAGAAGAACAGAGGACUGCGCGGAAAGGGUCACAACAACCACAAGAACCGCCCCUCUCGCAGAGCUACAUGGAAGAAGAACAACUCUCUCUCCCUCCGCCGUUACCGUUAAUUGCUUUUUGCUGCUUUCACUAUUAUCAUCAACUUCUUCUAGUUUCUAUGUUGCUGCUCUUUUAUCUUUCGCAUGAUGACUCUUGUUUUUGCAAAAUUUUGGAGCCUAUACAAUUGCGUUCGUUUUAUGGUUUUAAACAUUUGCUUGACUUCAUGUUCGUUCUGUUUUUGUGAUCAG
Molecule: long non-coding RNA, 311 nt
Filed under: Brassica rapa (field mustard)
Lineage: Eukaryota; Viridiplantae; Streptophyta; Magnoliopsida; Brassicales; Brassicaceae
Description: long non-coding RNA (BRAP_LNC000250)
Source: RNAcentral